GGGGAUUUAGCUCAGUGGUAGAGCGCUUGCCUAUCACGGGUAAGGGCCUGGGUUCGGUCCCCAGCCCCG
Molecule: transfer RNA, 69 nt
Filed under: Rattus norvegicus (Norway rat)
Lineage: Eukaryota; Metazoa; Chordata; Mammalia; Rodentia; Muridae
Rfam family: tRNA
About the family: Transfer RNA (tRNA) molecules are approximately 80 nucleotides in length. Their secondary structure includes four short double-helical elements and three loops (D, anti-codon, and T loops).
Source: Rfam by way of RNAcentral